This 5672-nucleotide long non-coding RNA is filed under the name Solanum tuberosum (potato). RNAcentral describes it as "long non-coding RNA (STUB_LNC009183)". Lineage: Eukaryota; Viridiplantae; Streptophyta; Magnoliopsida; Solanales; Solanaceae. The record is from RNAcentral.
UUGGUGUUAGACACUAAGUUUGAAAUGUGAAUGAUCAACUAAUGUGGAAAUAAAUGAUGGUUUGGGGUUAUUGAUGUUAGUUUUAUGGAAUCAAUCUAGUAGGCUUGAAAUAGCAUAUGUAAGAAUAUAAGUUUAUGAGUUUCCAAAAAGUGUGAUGGUGCAAGUAUGAUAUAGAUGUGAUCUGUAUGUAAGAUAAUGAAUGGUGACUAAGUCAAUGGAUAAAAGAGAUCCUUAAGCAUUAGGAAGAUAGAAGUGAACCCAAGGUAAUAUGUGCUUCCAUGAUAUUCUAAGAUUAUUAAGUGUUAUGUGUUCUAAGAUUGUAUGUUUGAGUAUGUCUUAGAUGGUGUUCUUAAGAGUUGAAUCGAGGAUUAAGAGAUUGAGGGAGUUGUGUCUCUUAGUGAAGCUUUAUCCUCCAUUGAUUUAGAGGGAUAUGAACUUAGAGGUGGGCUGUGAGUAGGAUAACAAGAAAGAUUAAAUUAUGAGGUACUAGGGGAAUUGGUUAUGUUUGCUAGAGUUUAAGUCAUAUGAUGAUGAUUAUAGAAACUAGAAUAAGUUGAGGGUGGUAUGUCUAAAAGGAAUAUCUUAUAACGAAGCUAGCAUCUUUUUGUUCUAGUAUUAAAGCGGUCAUGUGUAUAUUAUCACUGAGUUUAGAGGAUAUGGAAUAGGCACAUGCUUGGAAUGUCGGCUUUGAUCUAAGGGGGAGAUGAUAGGUUGAAAGAACCAAUUCAAGUCUUAUGAAUCUGAUUGUAAUGCAUUUUAGAAGGAGUUAUGAUGAGAUAACAAUUCAUUUCUUUAGUAUUCCUCAUAUUUCAGUCAUAAUGACAUUUUACUCAUCUCUUGGGUGUUAGCAUCAUGUCCAUGACCCAUUCUCAUGGACCUCAUACAGAUUCAUGUCCAUGCUUAAAUUCUAGAGCAAUAGCCUUAGAACAACGACCCCCAUAUUACUAUAUGCUUCCAUGACUUCUAGCUCUAUGAUGUACAAUUUAUGAUGUAUGCCCCCAUGAUUUCUCAGUAUGCUCAUACUCAGUCUUAUGUACUCAUGAUACAUUUUUGGUGAUAAGUGAAAUGACAAUAUGCUUUGUAUGUUUUCAUAUCAGAUUUCUUGAACAACUCAUGCCUAUGAUCUAUUUGUUCUAAAUCCUACUUUAGAAGUUAAGCAUUCAUAUGUAUAUUAUUGCUGAGUUUUAGAGGAUAUGGAAUAUGCACAUGCUUGGAAUGUCGACUUUGAUCUAAGAGGAGAUGAUAGGGAGAAUGACACAACUCAAGUCUUGUGAAUCAGAUUGUAUUGCAUUUCAGUAGGAGUUAUGAUGAUAUAUCAAUUCAUUUCUAUUCUAGAGUAUUCCUCAUAUUUCAAUCAUUAUGACAUUCUACUCAUCUCUUGCGUGUUAGCAUCACCCCAGAACCCAUGACCCAUACUAAUGGACCUCGUACAUAUUCAUGCCUAUGCUCAAUUCUAGAGCAAUAGCUUUAGAACAAUGACCCCUAUAUUACUCCAUGAACCAUGUCUUCUAGCUCUAUGAUGUACAAUUUAUGAUGUAUUCCCCCGUGAUUUCUCAGUAUGCUCAGUCGUAUGUACUCGUGAUUCAUUCUCGAUGAUAAGUGAAAUCACAAUACAUUUUGUAUGUUUUCGUAUCAGAUUUCUUGAACAACUCGUGCCUAUGAUCUCAUUGUUCAAAAUCCUACUUAGGUUCACCCAUGGUGGUGAUGAAUGGUUAUGACAUAUUCUACACUUACAAUGCCUCUCUAUGUAUGGUUUAUGCUUCAAGUACAUGACGUACUCAUGCCUAUUACACUUCUCUUUAGGCCCCCAUUUAUGAGUGUUAAGUAAUGAUAAUUAUAAGCUAUUAUUUAACAUUAUCUCUCUUAUUUUGGAUCCUAAUACUCUAGUCCUUUAGUGACCCUCUCGAUGUUGCGACAGUGGUGUUGAUAGCAGCCGAAUGAUGGUUUUAGAUGAUAAGGUAGUUGUCUCUUAUUGGGAAGAUUGGGGUAUGCUUACUCUACCUAAGCUUCUAGAAGUGGAGCGAGAUCAAGGAUCUAUUGUAUGAAAUAGUUAGAUGAGAAGUUUUGGUGUCUCUUGGUAGUAGUCCUUGAAAAUUUUAGCUUGUAAAGACGCUAAGAAAGAUAGAGACUAUUAGAUGGGUUGGUUACCUUGAAGUCCAUGAAGUGGUUAUAGUGAUAGGCUUGAAUAUUAUGUUGAUAACAUAUGGAUGAAUGCAUUAUGCACUAGUAGUUUCUUAAUUUGGACUCGAGGUUAGUUGAAUGGUUCGGUAAGAAGAAGUAAUAUUCUUGGUAUGGAAUUUCCUCCAGAAAUAUAGGAUUAGUACAUUCAUCUUACGUGUAACACUGUGACUCCAAGUUAGGCUUGAACAUGGUGAGAGCAUGCAGUUAGACUCAGACUUAAUUAGAAGUAGUCACAUAUAUCCUUGUGAGGGUUAUAAGUUGCAAUUGUUGAGGGGUAGUAUGCAAGAGAAGAAGCAUAGUUGAGAAGUGUUUCUAAGCUUAAAAGUGUAUCACUUAAGUCAUAAUAGAACUAUUCUUACCUCAUGCCCAUGGUACCGAGUUUCCUAUCAAGUACCUUUAGAUGGGGUGUGACCCAUGUUCUAUCUAUAUCAUUCAUACUUUAUGGAUCCAUGUUGGUGUCUCACAUAAAUAUGCCUAUGAUUCCUUCCAUUGAAAUAUUAUAAGAGUUCCAUUAUCAAGUAUUACAAAUCCCAAUAGAUGCAAAGUUCAUUUUGUUUAUUUUCUUCAUGCCUAUGCUAAUUCUUGCGCUCUUAGCUUGUGCUUCUACAUUUCUUAUUAUGGAUUGCUAGACCCCUAUUGUUAGUGCAAUUUACUUUAUUCUAGUGUAUAUAGAACAAAUAGCCCAAAUAAAUCUUAAUUUACUCUAUUCACAUAUUUAUUCUAGCUUUGAUCUUCAUUCGAGGACGAAUGAUCCCUAAGGGGAAAUAUUAUAACGCCCUACAACUUCCAAGCAUAUAGGGUUGAACCUGAUGAUUUCUUAGUUGUACAUAUAUGAUUAGGUACUUUACUAAGUGCGGUCAGUGUAUUGUAUGUUCAAGGGUCGUAAUGUACCUCAAACACCAAGCCAAGGUCAAAACCUUCCUACCAGCUAAGUUUUUUUGCAAAAGUUCAUGUAAGAGUCAACUUCAAACGGCCAUAUCUCUCAACAUAUGUAGAGUUAGGUGACGCAUGACCUAUCAAAUCAAAGGUAUUUGAGUCUAGUUUCUAACGCUUCCAACUUUUCAUCAAUACGAUAUUUGUACACAAUGUAAUUCCCAUUUUACUAGACACUAUCUUGCUGUGCACGAGUUGCGCCGGUUGCGUGCUAGCGCCGCACUGAGGCGUCAACUACUGCCUUGCAGCACGCCGGCUGCAGGCCCAAGAAGUUAUCUACGCGAUAGCGCACGUUACAAACCCUAUCAAAGACCCCAAAGUCGUGGUUUCUCAAGAAACUAACUUUCUCCAAGGUUCAUCCACCAUCCAAGGUAAGAUUUUACCACAUAAUUUCAUAAUUUCUUCAUCUUAACACGAAUUAAUGCCUCCUACUCAUGAUAUUCAUAGAUUUUCAAGGAAAUAACCUCAAGAACUCAUAUCCAAGGUUCAAGAAGGGUUCCAUGGUUCUUCUUCUUCCAAGAAUCUGGUUUUCUUGGGUAUUUAGAAGCAAUUAAGGUAUGUAGGACUCUAAUGAGGAAUUCUCUUCAUCCUCAUGUCUAAAAUUUCUCAGUUUUCUUGAAUUCAAUUUUAUAGUUAAGGUUUAUAGGCCCACUUUCAAAUUCACCAUUUUUAUAUUCCAACAACAUGAUUUCUUGAAUUAUUUACCCUGCAUACCAAUACAUUCCAUGUAUUGACGCUACAUCAUUUUAUGAUGUAGAUUUCAGCACACUGAUUCAGAUUCGCGGGAAUACGCUGCACUAAGUUCCUCUACAUUUAAUAUUGUGGUGAGUCCUCCUCGCAUUCAGAGGACUUCAGUUAUGAGUCAUUAGAUUUUAUUCACUUCAGUUCUGUUAGCUUUCGAGCAGUCUGGGGUCUUGUCCUGACAUAUCGUUUUGUUCGCUUUAAAGACUUUCAAACAUUAGUAUUCAGUUGUAAUAAAUUUAUAUUUGAAAUAUAUUUCAAUUAUGAUUUUAGUUUAUAGCUUCCGCUUCACUUUUCAUAUGAUAGGCUUAAAUAUUUUAUGCCAAGGGUUAGCUUGGGAUCACUUGUGGUUCCAAGUACCGUGUCUCAGCUAGGGUGUAGAAUCAGGUUGUCACAAACUUGGCAUUAGAGCAUUAGGUUCAAGUGUCCUACGAUGUCUGAAAGCCACAUCUAGAAGUCCUUUUUAUGGGUGUGAAGGGCACCACUUUUAUAAGGGGAGACUACAGGAGUUUUAGGAAAUAUUUCCUUUCUUUCAUACUCUAAAUCGUGCAACGGGGUUAUCACCUAAGAAACAUAAGCAGAUUCGUGGCUAUAGGAUGUUUAGGAAAUAUUUCCUUUCUUUCCUACUCUAAAUCGUGCUAUAGAGUUAUCACCUAAGAAACAUAUGCAUAUUCGUGCGUUGCUUCAAUUUUUCUAACUAUUCCUCAUCUUCAGUGUGAUAGAAGUAGUGAAGCUCAAUUCCUCCUAAUAAGGUGUCUUCAAAUAGAACUAUCAUCAUUUCAGAGAUCCCUCAAAGGGCUUGAGGGGAGCCCAUUAGUGUGUUUUACCCCAUUAAUUCAAUAUCUUACGUUCUUAUAUAUGUGAAUUGUGUUGUUGAGCGAAAAUAUGAUCUGCAUUCAGAUUCUUCUAUAAUCCUCCAUUCCAUAGAACAUCAUGAAAGGAGAAGUAUGUGUCCAGAUUCUUGGAUAGUAUUAUCACCCAUAAGAUAAUGUGAUUUGGGAUGUAAUGAUUUAUUAGUAGAAUGACCCAAACUUAGAAGUGUAAAUCUAGAAUCGUAGUAUUCCUUACGGUUGGGAUAAUGAGUUAUCAAAGUGUAGUAUAUAUAUGUAUAGAAGUUAUGUAUCCAUUUACUUAUAAUUGAGGUGAUAUGUAUUCAAGUGUUGACUAAGGGGUAGUAAGUUGAUGUAGAUCUCAUGGUGGGAAGUAGAAAAUGAGUCAUUGGUUAAGCUGACUUAGAUUAUGGUUGAACUAGGAAGGGAGUUUAUGAUAUAGGUCAUUAAUGAAAGUAUAAUAAAGUGUUUAUGGAUUGAUAUAUCUAGGCUUCACUUUGUAAUUCUAAAAAGGAACCGCUUGAUGCUUAUAGAGCUAUGAAUAUAGUUUAGACAUACAGAUGAAUAUGUAGUGGUAAUGUGUGAAAGAAGGAUAUGCUAAUGUAUUAUAAUUAGAUAAACUUUAAGAUUAAAAUCGACUAUUAUUAGUAUGAGGUUUUAGAGUGUACUCGUGUUUCUCAAUUUUAUCUGGUAGUUACUAAGCCAGAAUAGUAUGUGAAGUUGGGUUGUUGUGCAUUUUUGGUGUUAGACACUAAGAUUGAAAUGUGAAUGAUCACCAAGGUGGAAAUAAAUGAUGGUUUGGGGUUAGUGAUGCUAGUUUUAGUAGGCUUAAAAUAGCAUAUGUAAGAAUAUAAGUUUACGAAUUUUCAACAAGUGUGAUGGUGCAGUAUGAUAUAGAUGUGAUUCCUAGGUAUGACAAUGAAUGGUGACUAAGUCAAUGGAUAAAAGAGAUCCUUAAGCAUUAGGAAGAUAGAAGUGAACCCAAGG